GAUGAACGCUGGCGGCGUGCCUAAUACAUGCAAGUCGAGCGAACGGACGAGAAGCUUGCUUCUCUGAUGUUAGCGGCGGACGGGUGAGUAGCACGUGGAUAACCUACCUAUAAGACUGGGAUAACUUCGGGAAACCGGAGCUAAUACCGGAUAAUAUUUUGAACCGCAUGGUUCAAAAGUGAAAGACGGUCUUGCUGUCACUUAUAGAUGGAUCCGCGCUGCAUUAGCUAGUUGGUAAGGUAACGGCUUACCAAGGCAACGAUGCAUAGCCGACCUGAGAGGGUGAUCGGACACACUGGAACUGAGACACGGUCCAGACUCCUACGGGAGGCAGCAGUAGUGAAUCUUCCGCAAUGGGCGAAAGCCUGACGAAGCAACACCGCGUGAGUGAUGAAGGUCUUCGGAUCGUAAAACUCUGUUAUUAGGGAAGAACAUAUGUGUAAGUAACUGUGCACAUCUUGACGGUACCUAAUCAGAAAGCUACGGCUAACUACGUG
Molecule: ribosomal RNA, 497 nt
Filed under: uncultured bacterium
Lineage: Bacteria
Description: partial 16S ribosomal RNA
Rfam family: Bacterial small subunit ribosomal RNA
Source: RNAcentral